AACGGCCGUACCAUGCUGAAUAUACCGGUUCUCGUUACAUCACCGAAGUUAAGCAUCAUUGGGCGCGGUCAGUACUUGGGUGGGUGACCACCUGGGAACACUGCGUGCCGUU
RNAcentral lists this ribosomal RNA (112 nucleotides) under Caerostris darwini. The record is from RNAcentral. Lineage: Eukaryota; Metazoa; Arthropoda; Arachnida; Araneae; Araneidae.